ACGGAGGGUGCGAGCGUUAAUCGGAAUUACUGGGCGUAAAGCGUAUGCAGGCGGUUCAUUAAGUCAGGUGUGAAAGCCCGGGGCUUAACCUGGGAACUGCAUUUGAAACUGGUGAACUGGAGUACGGUAGAGGGGGGUGGAAUUUCAGGUGUAGCGGUGAAAUGCGUAGAGAUGUGGAGGAACACCGAUGGCGAAGGCAGCCCCCUGGGCCGAUACUGACGCUCA
RNAcentral lists this ribosomal RNA (225 nucleotides) under uncultured prokaryote. RNAcentral's name for it is "partial 16S ribosomal RNA". It matches the Rfam family "Bacterial small subunit ribosomal RNA", at positions 525 to 749 of the family's 1533-position model. The record is from RNAcentral.